ACUUCGAAAUACAAAAUAAGUAUGAUUCAAAAUAAAUUAAAACUAUUUACCUAUUGGUUUUUUGUUUGUUUUGGCAUCCAUCUUUGACCCUUCCUUCGCACCAUUCUCCCGCCACAGCUGGUGAGGCCUUGGGCAGAGACAAAAAGGAAAGGGUUGGCACUUGGCACGUGUCAGUAAGAGACAGAAGUUAUGUGACUUUUUUUUUGUGUCCAAGAGUUAUCUGGUUGUCGAUGAAGCUUAGUUUAUAUAGUAUAGAAAAAGAUGGCUUGUAAUAAUUGUGGACUCAAAAAGAGUCUAAUCAUGUAUCCUAAAGCAACUUCGAAAACGGUUUCCUGGUAAAUCUUCAUGAGGUACCUAAGAUGUGACGAAUUGUGACGUCAAGGCAUUCUCGAAGCUUUAAUACUCAUUGGUCAAAUAAAUAGUUUGGAAAUAGUAUUUCAGAGGAUAUAAGGCAGAGUCAUCUCAACAUGAGACGAUUCCCAGUCAGACAUUUAGCUCUACUUGAGGCAGUCGGCUUUAGAAAACCAUUAGUUUGGCUGAACAAAAACUAACUACCAGAAAAUCCGUCAACUUGAAUUUAACGAGACGAAAUUAUGUUUGAGCGUGAAACCGGUCCACGCAAAGCGUUCAUCCCAAAAAAAUUCUUUGCCAGAGGAUCGCAUGGUUUUUAAGCAUCCAAGCCCUGAGGCUUUAUGUUUCCGUGGAUGAGGAAAACAGGAUGUCGUGCUAGGGAAACAUCCACCAUGUAAUUAUGAUGUCUCAUUUUGCACGUUGUUUUCGGGUCACAGCCACUUUCACACCCUCAAAGUUCGCCAGGGCAAGCUUUCAAAUUCACUCAUAUGACAAAACGGCAGGAGGUGAAAUAACUUGUCCGCUGUCGGAUAUUGCCGACACGUUCUACUUCUACUAGGCUGAUGAACAAACCCUCCCUGGCGGGCUGUACUAGCUGAAGUGGAGAUUGGACCACCUAUAAUGGAUGUGGAUUCAGGGUGGCAGCAGGAACAGCCAUGGAUUGGCUCAUCGAAGGCAGGAUAAAAAAUGAUAUAAUCGUUUCGCGCAAGUGUAUUACAUCACGUGAUAUCAUCGUAAGAUAGCUAGAAACCCAGAAUGACACAGCACAAUGGAACAGAUGGAGGAUGAUUCCAAACUAUUCGCAGUAGGCCACGUCUACUAUGAAUUUUCAACUUUGCUAUGUCUACUGGCGGCUUUUCUUAAAUCCCGCAAACGACACUACCAUGGAAAAGAACCGAUUGAUUUAGAAAUAGGAGAAAUAGUGACCAAGUAUUUUGAAGAAUCUCGACACCAUCUAGUGUCAAGAUAUAGCAAUAUUGGUAUUUCAAGCGGACGAAAGAAGAAGUUGACGAUGAAAAUUGUAAAUAGAACCUUUCACGUCAAGUGGUUUAAUCCAGCCUGACGAACUAUCUAUAGAAGCAGCCUGGUGUCCUACAGUUCGUCGAGUAUUGCAUACAAAUUUCUGUGCAUCUAGCCGUAUUUCAACAAUAUUGUUUAGCAACGCAAAAAGCGGGGCGAGUGGAAAGGCUGCCACGAAGAUCGUGAUGAAACCAAACUGCAUCACUGACACAGAAACGUAUUCUUGAAACAAACCAGCAUUCUCAACUAGCUGAUAAUCUGCCUCCCACCUUUUAGAUUUGCCUUUAUCUUGAGUGAAUUCCACCUUGAAAACAAAAAUAAAAGCAAGGCUUGAACUUUUGGCCACAAGAUUUCUUGUGCGUUGUUGAUGACCUGCUUACCAACCAUGAUUAUGAAUAACUGCUGGGAAAGCUCAACUAGACACCCGCCAGCGCUACACUAUAUCAUAUACAACAAAAAAAUUAUUCUAGGACAUUAAACAGUUUCCCGGGUAGCCGACGAAUCGACCCUUGAAGAAAGCAAUGUAAAACGGGGAUGCAUAGAGGUUGACAAAUUGAAAGGCGAAGACCUUGAAAGUUAAAUUAUCUUCAAACUCGAUUUGGGUUCGAUGCAUUUCUAAACGUGAAAGAAAUAUUCAAAGUUUAGCUGAUGACGUUUGGAUUAUAACUUAUGUAAAAUAAAAUUGUAUAACUCA
This 2065-nucleotide long non-coding RNA is filed under the name Daphnia magna. Its description in RNAcentral is "uncharacterized LOC116919129, transcript variant X1". The record is from RNAcentral. Lineage: Eukaryota; Metazoa; Arthropoda; Branchiopoda; Diplostraca; Daphniidae.